GCGGGUGUGGCGGAAUUGGCAGACGCGCUAGACUUAGGAUCUAGUGGUUACCCCGUGCAGGUUCAAGUCCUGUCACCCGCACCA
RNAcentral lists this transfer RNA (84 nucleotides) under Clostridia bacterium. RNAcentral's name for it is "tRNA-Leu". It matches the Rfam family "tRNA". Rfam says of the family: Transfer RNA (tRNA) molecules are approximately 80 nucleotides in length. Their secondary structure includes four short double-helical elements and three loops (D, anti-codon, and T loops). Further hydrogen bonds mediate the characteristic L-shaped molecular structure. tRNAs have two regions of fundamental functional importance: the anti-codon, which is responsible for specific mRNA codon recognition, and the 3' end, to which the tRNAs corresponding amino acid is attached (by aminoacyl-tRNA synthetases). tRNAs cope with the degeneracy of the genetic code in two manners: having more than one tRNA (with a specific anti-codon) for a particular amino acid; and 'wobble' base-pairing, i.e. permitting non-standard base-pairing at the 3rd anti-codon position. Lineage: Bacteria; Bacillati; Bacillota; Clostridia. The record is from RNAcentral.